CCUACGGGAGGCAGCAGUGAGGAAUAUUGGUCAAUGGACGAGAGUCUGAACCAGCCAAGUAGCGUGAAGGAUGACUGCCCUAUGGGUUGUAAACUUCUUUUAUAUGGGAAUAAAAUGUUCCAUGUGUGGGAUUUUGUAUGUACCAUAUGAAUAAGGAUCGGCUAACUCCGUGCCAGCAGCCGCGGUAAGACGGAGGAUCCGAGCGUUAUCCGGAUUUAUUGGGUUUAAAGGGAGCGCAGGUGGAUUGUUAAGUCAGUUGUGAAAGUCUGCGGCUCAACCGUAAAAUUGCAGUUGAAACUGGCAGUCUUGAGUACAGUAGAGGUGGGCAGAAUUCGUGGUGUAGCGGUGAAAUGCUUAGAUAUCACGAAGAAUUCCGAUUGCGAAGGCAGUUCACUGGACUGCAACUGACACUGAGGCUCGAAAGUGUGGGUAUCAAACAGGAUUAGAUACCCCUGUAGUC
Molecule: ribosomal RNA, 460 nt
Filed under: uncultured bacterium
Lineage: Bacteria
Description: partial 16S ribosomal RNA
Rfam family: Bacterial small subunit ribosomal RNA
Source: RNAcentral